This 255-nucleotide long non-coding RNA is filed under the name Cicer arietinum (chickpea). RNAcentral's name for it is "long non-coding RNA (CARI_LNC001251)". Lineage: Eukaryota; Viridiplantae; Streptophyta; Magnoliopsida; Fabales; Fabaceae. The record is from RNAcentral.
CCUUUCACCUUGUCCAAGAACAAAUGACAUUAAUCAAAAUUUCCAUAUAAGAAACUACACCAUAGAAUUUAAAUCCCUGUACAUAGAUUAUAUCUAACCACUUCAAGAGGAUAGAAAAGAAAGGACAGGAUAACUUGAGAUAUAGAGAAAUUAAUGGAGAGGUUCGGGUUAUAUAUGAAGAAAAAGAAAUGAUGAAAUAAGAGAGAUAGAAAUAUAAAUUCUUAAAAAGUUUUUAUUUUUUUUAUUAAAUAACGC